ACUGAGAGUCAGUGAGAAACAGCUGGAACACCUGGUGACAGAGAACACAGUUCAGUCUGCUCAGUUUUCCCUGAUGGAGUCCAGACUGUCAGAAAGCAAAAACAACACCACAGUUAAAUUUUCCCUGAUGGAGUCCAGACUGAUGGACACCAAC
This is a long non-coding RNA of Seriola dumerili (greater amberjack), 154 nucleotides long. RefSeq lists it as uncharacterized. Lineage: Eukaryota; Metazoa; Chordata; Actinopteri; Carangiformes; Carangidae. The transcript has 3 exons. The record is from RefSeq and is a predicted model, not a curated record.